ACGGGAGGCAGCAGUGAGGAAUAUUGGUCAAUGGACGCAAGUCUGAACCAGCCAUGCCGCGUGCAGGAUGACGGCUCUAUGAGUUGUAAACUGCUUUUGUACGAGGGUAAACGCAGAUACGUGUAUCUGUCUGAAAGUAUCGUACGAAUAAGGAUCGGCUAACUCCGUGCCAGCAGCCGCGGUAAUACGGAGGAUUCAAGCGUUAUCCGGAUUUAUUGGGUUUAAAGGGUGCGUAGGCGGUUUGAUAAGUUAGAGGUGAAAUUUCGGGGCUCAACCCUGAACGUGCCUCUAAUACUGUUGAGCUAGAGAGUAGUUGCGGUAGGCGGAAUGUAUGGUGUAGCGGUGAAAUGCUUAGAGAUCAUACAGAACACCGAUUGCGAAGGCAGCUUAUCAAACUAUAUCUGACGUUGAGGCACGAAAGCGUGGGGAGCAAACAGGAUUAGAUACCCUGGUA
RNAcentral lists this ribosomal RNA (454 nucleotides) under uncultured Bacteroidales bacterium. RNAcentral's name for it is "bacterial SSU rRNA". It matches the Rfam family "Bacterial small subunit ribosomal RNA", at positions 341 to 792 of the family's 1533-position model. Lineage: Bacteria; Pseudomonadati; Bacteroidota; Bacteroidia; Bacteroidales. The record is from RNAcentral.